GAUCUGCCUCUCUUUAUGUAAAAAUUAUUCUAUAUGUGUCUUAAGUGAAUUUGUUCUUAAUGUGGUGAAAAUACCUACCUAUUAUAGUACUCUAUUUUAGCCAGUAUUUGAUUUUCAAAAAUCAUCAGGCUUCCACCUAAAUGAUAAUCGUGUUUUUCAGAAAUAUUCUCUAUAUACAGGGAUAUAACCAUGUUUGUCAAAGAUAAUGUUUUGUUGCACAAGGAUAUUGUUCAGGUUUCUCUGGUGCUGCUAUUCCUUGUAUAUGAUAAGACAUCUACUAACAACCAACUGGCCUCACUGGUUCGAUACAAUAGUAAACUUAAGAACUUAUUCAUGCCUAACUGUUAUUUUUUAUUUUUGUAGUAUUGAGCUUAGGGAAGCCAAUACUAGUACCAGACAUGGCAAAGUCAAUUUGGCAGUUCAUUGCACCUCAGGGCAACAUAAGUAUAAUAAAUUAUAUUUGGUGAAAUUUAUGGAAAUUCCACACUUAUAGCACUGACAUAGGUUUGUUGUGCCAAUGAAGAACGGUGACCUCGAUAGUAAAGGAGUCUUCGCUAGUAUUAUUCAAGCUAAAGUAACAAUAGAAGCAUUCAAGGUACUUAUAAUUUAUAAUUUCACAUAUGUCAUUUAAAUGUGUGUUAACUGUCUUAUCCUUCUACUAAUGAUGCAAGUAACGCACAGGUUGUGAGACCAAAAUCUUUCACAUUCCUCUGGAUCAAACUUAUAGUCCAAUUCUAACUUUUUAUUUGUUUAUUUUUAUACCUGCUAAAUGAAGAUGUUAGCAGAAUUGGGACUUCUCUUUUAUGCAUUAGUAUCACCAUUUCUAUCUCCUUUUAAUGAAUACAAAAGGUUUCCACUUAAUUGGUGUUUCUGCUAGGACCUAGAUCCAGAGAUGGUGGUAUUUUAUCGGGUAGAGGAGCAGUAAUGUCCUAAGCAUAGACAAAUCAAUAUGAAAUGAUGCUUGCUCUUCUCCCUUAACUUGCUUUUAUAUUCUCUCAGUAGGGUGACUAGAAUUGUCUAAAGAAUGCAAGUCAUUGCAACUUUUUUCUUUGGUGCCCACCCUAAUGUAUCUUUUUUUUAAACUUGUUCACUUUGCGAAAAAAGGGUUCUGUUUUUGAGUCAACAUAAAAAAUAGAAACAUAGCCUUGCUUCUAAUAUGAUUUUAUAUAUUUCAUCUUAUUGCACUUUUAUGAUCUCAUGUUACCACCAAUGCAAUAUUUUGGCAAACGCUCCUGGGGUUUAUCUUGCAGUUAUGCAAAUAUU
This is a non-coding RNA of Nicotiana tabacum (common tobacco), 1263 nucleotides long. Lineage: Eukaryota; Viridiplantae; Streptophyta; Magnoliopsida; Solanales; Solanaceae. The record is from RefSeq and is a predicted model, not a curated record.